GACCAGCCAGCCCCACGUCCAGGACCUUGGCUGCAUCUGCCACCUGGUACAGCUGGCCACUGGCUGUGGCAUCAGAGCAGCCCAGGUACCAGUGGAAGACAUCCUGGUGGGGAUACACACCCACUUUGAUAAAAGUGCAAAAAGAUUCAGACCACCUGAAGCUCCUCAGGUACUGCAGCACCAGAUGGCUGAGUCUGUUAACCUGCAUCCAGAGGGUGCCGAACCAGUGGGAUGCACUACAGGCCUACUUUAACAGUUAUUAAGAGGUGGAGAGGAGUGUUAAAGUGCGUGAUCUGGCAAGCCAUCUGCGUGAUCCAAUCGUGAAGACCUACUUCCUGUUCUGAAUUUAACAUUGCCUUCCAGUCAGAGGGAGUACAAAUUCAGACUUGAAGAGGAGAUGUGCAGGCUGAUGAUGAGGAUCCUGGGCUACCUCAUUCCAGCCAGGGCAAUCGUGGGUGUACCUCUCAGGGAGGUGGAGU
Molecule: long non-coding RNA, 479 nt
Organism: Perca flavescens (yellow perch)
Lineage: Eukaryota; Metazoa; Chordata; Actinopteri; Perciformes; Percidae
Exons: 4
Source: RefSeq, a predicted model, not a curated record